Temnothorax curvispinosus is the source of this 261-nucleotide long non-coding RNA. RefSeq lists it as uncharacterized. Lineage: Eukaryota; Metazoa; Arthropoda; Insecta; Hymenoptera; Formicidae. The transcript has 2 exons. The record is from RefSeq and is a predicted model, not a curated record.
UGCUUCGAAGCAUUUGUAGUGUCACGUUGACCGUAGCCAUAAUAUCAUAUUAAUACAUUAUUUUAUUUUUAGACGUAGCUGUUGAUGAAAGAGAAUUAGAUGGUGACUUAAUUUUGGGAGAUAUAGGUCAAGGAUUGCCAUUUAAAGCUGCGGCGACAGGUCCGGCGACGACGGGACGGGCGGCGACGGGACCGGCAGCGAUAUCGGUGGCUGAUCCCGAUAAUUCUAACCCGAAAUCAGCGAAAUCGUUGUCAUCAUCUA